RNAcentral lists this ribosomal RNA (44 nucleotides) under Salmonella enterica subsp. enterica serovar Namur str. 05-2929. RNAcentral also lists the same sequence under 1 other name. Lineage: Bacteria; Pseudomonadati; Pseudomonadota; Gammaproteobacteria; Enterobacterales; Enterobacteriaceae. The record is from RNAcentral.
CCAGAAAGCACCGUUUCCCGUCCGAUCAACUGUAGUUAAGCUGG